Molecule: long non-coding RNA, 398 nt
Filed under: Elaeis guineensis (African oil palm)
Lineage: Eukaryota; Viridiplantae; Streptophyta; Magnoliopsida; Arecales; Arecaceae
Description: long non-coding RNA (EGUI_LNC064811)
Source: RNAcentral
AAGAUGCUCAACACUUUCCCAAUAAAGUCGGGCUUGCCUAACCAACUUCAUCCUAGUAAAUCUAACUCUCUUUGCUUCAGACAUUUCGUACCAUUUAAAGUAGUGAUCCAUGCCUGAUUCUCAGUCUAGGUAUUCUCUCGGAUCUAGACAACCAUCAAAACUUGGGACUUCGAUCUUCACAUUCCUAAGAAUAUGCUCAUCUGGGUCGAACUGAUUAUGGUGCGGGCAUCCCCUUAUAGGUCGAUUAAGUUCUAGGUUCCUACCUCUCUGUCCUAUAGACAGUUGGGGAGACUCAGAUUCAGGUUGUUUCUGCCUUAGCUUCUUCUAAUACUACUAUUCUCUUAUUCAUGGCUUUCAUAAAAUUUUUCAUAUCAUUAAACUUUUCAGUCAAAGCAUUN